This 253-nucleotide ribosomal RNA is filed under the name uncultured bacterium. RNAcentral's name for it is "partial 16S ribosomal RNA". It matches the Rfam family "Bacterial small subunit ribosomal RNA", at positions 524 to 776 of the family's 1533-position model. The record is from RNAcentral.
UACGGAGGGUGCAAGCGUUAUCCGGAUUCACUGGGUUUAAAGGGUGCGUAGGCGGGCAGGUAAGUCAGUGGUGAAAGCCUCCAGCUCAACUGGAGAACUGCCAUUGAUACUGACGGGCUUGAGUACAGACGAGGUUGGCGGAAUUGAUUGUGUAGCGGUGAAAUGCAUAGAUACAAUCAAGAACUCCGAUUGCGUAGGCAGCUAACUAGGCUGUAACUGACGCUGAGGCACGAAAGCGUGGGGAGCGAACAGG